This 421-nucleotide ribosomal RNA is filed under the name uncultured bacterium. RNAcentral's name for it is "bacterial SSU rRNA". It matches the Rfam family "Bacterial small subunit ribosomal RNA", at positions 29 to 441 of the family's 1533-position model. The record is from RNAcentral.
AAUGAACGCUGGCGGCGCGCCUAAUACAUGCAAGUCGAGCGAGAAGACGUAGCAAUACGUUUGUAAAGCGGCGAACGGGUGAGGAAUACAUGGGUAACCUACCCUCGAGUGGGGAAUAACUAGCCGAAAGGUUAGCUAAUACCGCGUACGCUUCUUGGACUUCGGUUCAGGGAGGAAAGCGAUGCCGAGGGUAUCGCGCUCUUGGAUGGGCUCAUGUCCUAUCAGCUUGUUGGGAGGUAACGGCUCACCAAGGCUUCGACGGGUAGCUGGUCUGAGAGGACGAUCAGCCACACUGGCACUGCGACACGGGCCAGACUCCUACGGGAGGCAGCAGUAAGGAAUAUUGCGCAAUGGGCGAAAGCCUGACGCAGCGACGCCGCGUGGGGGAUGAAGGUCUUCGGAUUGUAAACCCCUUUCGGGA